CAGAGAGAGUAGAUCUAGACCAGUGGUUCAAGCUUGUUUCUAUAAUGUACCCCCCCUUUGAACAGUUUUUAAGCCACGUACCCUCUAACCAGUGCAAAU
This is a long non-coding RNA of Etheostoma spectabile (orangethroat darter), 99 nucleotides long. RefSeq lists it as uncharacterized. The record is from RefSeq and is a predicted model, not a curated record. NCBI's taxonomy places the organism in Eukaryota, Metazoa, Chordata, Actinopteri, Perciformes, Percidae. The transcript has 3 exons.